This is a small nucleolar RNA of Bison bison bison, 135 nucleotides long. Its record names the gene SNORA70. It matches the Rfam family "Small nucleolar RNA SNORA70". From Rfam's summary of the family: snoRNA U70 seems to be exclusive to mammals and is a member of the H/ACA class of snoRNA which contain H (ANANNA) and ACA box motifs. H/ACA box snoRNAs are involved in the conversion of uridines to pseudouridines (5-ribosyluracil) a constituent of structural RNAs (transfer, ribosomal, small nuclear, and small nucleolar). Lineage: Eukaryota; Metazoa; Chordata; Mammalia; Artiodactyla; Bovidae. The record is from Ensembl.
UUGCAACCAAUUAAGCUGACGGUGCUAUUUUCGCAGGGGAGUGCUGGUGUGCAGUGGCUGCAAACAGCAGGCUCCUGGGUAGUGUAUGAAGCCUGUUGCCCUCAUGGGUUGCCCUAAGGGACCUUGAAGUGAAAG